Molecule: long non-coding RNA, 1471 nt
Organism: Aethalodelphis obliquidens (Pacific white-sided dolphin)
Lineage: Eukaryota; Metazoa; Chordata; Mammalia; Artiodactyla; Delphinidae
Exons: 4
Source: RefSeq, a predicted model, not a curated record
GGGACUUGCCUGCACGUUCUCUGCUCGUCUCCCCUACCCGCUGCCCGGGAAGUCGUGGCCAAGCCGGGGCCCCAGCGCCAGAACCCGCGGAGAAGUUUCGCCGCUGCAAACUGCAAUAAACAGCCCGGUCGUGUGAAAAUGUGACUCCGCCUAUUGGGAAAGGAAUGUCAAAAAAGGCCUUUCACAUCAGCUAUCUCAGUCCCCUGUUGUAUCAGUGCAAGAUGAGGUUCAACAAUUUGCUGAAGGUUUUGCAGCUGGUUAGUGGCAGAGGUGUUUCUGGAACCCAGGGUUGACUACCCCCAGAAUCUUCUAGUAUUGAUGUGGGAACCUUUCCAUGAAGAUGGAGACUACUGGUCCAGAACCUAAGAAUUUAAACAGAGAGCCUUAUACUCUAUACCCAUUUAUGCACUUUUCUAUUCAUUUUCAGUGUUCACGGCUGGGUAACUAGAUGCCCUAACGACCUUCAGUGGUGAGCCAGGGCACCCUCUGGGGAACCACAUUGUGCUCUGUCCUUAGAGACACCCAUUAUGGAAGGUACCAGGCUGAAGCUGGGGCCGGGUAGUUCCGUUGGGGCAAGUGUGGGACUGAAGAGGCCAAGGUCAGUGGUUGAUCCUGGUUCAGGCCAGUUAACUUCUCACAAAGAUGAAUUGCUCCAAGGCCAUCGCACUUCUAGUGCUAGCUGGUCAUUUUAUAAAGAGUUGUUGUUGGUUUCAAUAGCAAAGUACCAUCCAUUUCUAGAAAGAUUACUCAAACUACUAUUGUUCUAUUCAGUCCUAUUCAUUCAGCAAACAAUGAUCUGAACCUAUUAACUAUUUUUCCUCCCAUAUAUCUUGUACUUACUUAUUUUCCAGGUACUUACUAAAUGUUAAUUGCUUUACCUGUAUUGUCUCAUUUAAGUCUUACAACACUGGGAGUAAGGUGCUACUAUUUCCCCAUUUUAUAGAUGAGAUGACUAAAACAUGGAGACCAAGCCUAGUUACAAGCCUGUGCAGUCUGACGCCAGAGCUGGCCCCCUCUUAACCACCAAGUUUGUGAAGGAUUCAGGAAGACCUAAAACAAGACUCUUUCCCUCCACAUUUUCGAUAAUUAUCAUCAUUUAGAAUCUCCUUUCCUUUUCAGCUAGCAAUUUCAUGUCCAAAGAUUUGUCCUACAGAAAGUCAUCCAGAGAUAUAUAUAGUAUAGAUGGAGUGUAUGUUUAUGUGUAUAUACGAAGUGUAUAUCUGGAAUAUAUAUACACAUUUGCUGCAGCAUAAUAGUGAAAUUUGGAAAUCACUGUCAUUCUCAUCAGCAAGGGAUUGAACAGCACCAAGGAAAAGCCGUGUGAACACACAGCAAGAAGGCAGCCGUCUGCAGUCCUAGAAGAGAGCUCUCACCAGAGCACAACCAUGCUGGCAACCCCAUCCCGGACUCCAGCCUCGAGACUGGGCUUCCCUGGUGGUGCAGUGGUUAAGAAUCCACCUGCCAAUGCAGG